AGGCACGUAGCUCAGGGGGAGAGCGCCACCCUGACACGGAGGAGGUCCCGGGUUCAAAUCCCGGCGUGCCUACCA
This 75-nucleotide transfer RNA is filed under the name Pseudomonadota bacterium. RNAcentral describes it as "Proteobacteria bacterium (groundwater metagenome) tRNA-Val". It matches the Rfam family "tRNA". Rfam says of the family: Transfer RNA (tRNA) molecules are approximately 80 nucleotides in length. Their secondary structure includes four short double-helical elements and three loops (D, anti-codon, and T loops). Further hydrogen bonds mediate the characteristic L-shaped molecular structure. tRNAs have two regions of fundamental functional importance: the anti-codon, which is responsible for specific mRNA codon recognition, and the 3' end, to which the tRNAs corresponding amino acid is attached (by aminoacyl-tRNA synthetases). tRNAs cope with the degeneracy of the genetic code in two manners: having more than one tRNA (with a specific anti-codon) for a particular amino acid; and 'wobble' base-pairing, i.e. permitting non-standard base-pairing at the 3rd anti-codon position. The record is from RNAcentral. Lineage: Bacteria; Pseudomonadati; Pseudomonadota.